UACGUAGGGUGCGAGCGUUGUCCGGAAUUACUGGGCGUAAAGAGCUCGUAGGUGGUUUGUCGCGUUGUUCGUGAAAACUCACAGCUUAACUGUGGGCGUGCGGGCGAUACGGGCAGACUGGAGUACUGCAGGGGAGACUGGAAUUCCUGGUGUAGCGGUGGAAUGCGCAGAUAUCAGGAGGAACACCGGUGGCGAAGGCGGUGCUCUGGGCCAGUACUGACGCUGAGGAGCGAAAGCGUGGGGAGCAAACAGG
Molecule: ribosomal RNA, 253 nt
Filed under: uncultured bacterium
Lineage: Bacteria
Description: partial 16S ribosomal RNA
Rfam family: Bacterial small subunit ribosomal RNA
Source: RNAcentral